This 499-nucleotide ribosomal RNA is filed under the name uncultured bacterium. Its description in RNAcentral is "partial 16S ribosomal RNA". It matches the Rfam family "Bacterial small subunit ribosomal RNA", at positions 28 to 507 of the family's 1533-position model. The record is from RNAcentral.
GAUGAACGCUGGCGGCGUGCCUAAUACAUGCAAGUCGAGCGAACAGACGAGAGUGCUUGCACUCUCUGACGUUAGCGGCGGACGGGUGAGUAACACGUGGGUAACCUACCUAUAAGACUGGGAUAACUUCGGGAAACCGGAGCUAAUACCGGAUAAUAUUUAGCUUCGCAUGAAGCAAUAGUGAAAGACGGUUCUGCUGUCACUUAUAGGUGGACCCGCGGUGUAUUAGCUAGUUGGUGAGGUAACGGCUCACCAAGGCAACGAUACAUAGCCGACCUGAGAGGGUGAUCGGCCACACUGGGACUGAGACACGGCCCAGACUCCUACGGGAGGCAGCAGUAGGGAAUCUUCCGCAAUGGACGAAAGUCUGACGGAGCAAUGCCGCGUGAGUGAAGAAGGUUUUCGGAUCGUAAAACUCUGUUGUAAGGGAAGAACAAGUACGUUAGUAACUGAACGUACCUUGACGGUACCUUACCAGAAAGCCACGGCUAACUACGUG